CUCACUUCGGAGUUCGGAUGGUGUCUAGCAACGUUGGGUACCUCGUUUCUUGUGUGUGUGAGCGAGUGGUUGACUUGCUGUUUACGAUGUGUUCAUAUAUCGCUUUGUAGUGCUGUAAUGUGCAAAUUAGCGGCUCUCUGGCUCUCUAUUUUCCGUCGUUGUCUUUCGAGCAGCGCCUGUUGUUCCGGUAAAAAUCGAGUUGAAUGAAUCGCCACAGCCCCAACGUAUAUCGCGCAGUGUUGACCAAGACCAAGUCAAGCAGGAAUUCUGGCAUGGUAUGUGGCUGCACGAAAGAUUCCGAAAAAGAAAAACAACAACAUGGCUAACAGGAUGUUGCUGCCCAGGGAGUCCUGGCGAAGAGGUUUACUCAUUCCAGAAGCAAGAAUUGUAUCAUUGUAAGGCGAAUGGAAAUAAACUGACAUCGACUGA
Molecule: long non-coding RNA, 429 nt
Organism: Ornithodoros turicata
Lineage: Eukaryota; Metazoa; Arthropoda; Arachnida; Ixodida; Argasidae
Exons: 3
Source: RefSeq, a predicted model, not a curated record